RNAcentral lists this ribosomal RNA (253 nucleotides) under uncultured bacterium. Its description in RNAcentral is "partial 16S ribosomal RNA". It matches the Rfam family "Bacterial small subunit ribosomal RNA", at positions 524 to 776 of the family's 1533-position model. The record is from RNAcentral.
UACGGAGGGGGCUAGCGUUGUUCGGAAUUACUGGGCGUAAAGCGCGCGUAGGCGGCUUUGUAAGUUAGAGGUGAAAGCCCGGAGCUUAACUCCGGAACUGCCUUUAAGACUGCAUCGCUAGAAUUGUGGAGAGGUAAGUGGAAUUCCGAGUGUAGAGGUGAAAUUCGUAGAUAUUCGGAAGAACACCAAUGGCGAAGGCAGCUCGCUGGGACGUUACUGACGCUGAGACGCGAAAGCGUGGGGAGCAAACAGG